GGAGCGAUAGCUCAGACUGGUAGAGCACUGGAUCUGGAAUCCAGGUGUCGAAGGUUCAACUCCUUCUCGCCCCACCG
RNAcentral lists this transfer RNA (77 nucleotides) under Archangium gephyra. RNAcentral's name for it is "tRNA-Pro". It matches the Rfam family "tRNA". Rfam says of the family: Transfer RNA (tRNA) molecules are approximately 80 nucleotides in length. Their secondary structure includes four short double-helical elements and three loops (D, anti-codon, and T loops). The record is from RNAcentral. Lineage: Bacteria; Pseudomonadati; Myxococcota; Myxococcia; Myxococcales; Archangiaceae.